This 957-nucleotide ribosomal RNA is filed under the name Triticum aestivum (bread wheat). Its description in RNAcentral is "partial small subunit ribosomal RNA". The record is from RNAcentral. Lineage: Eukaryota; Viridiplantae; Streptophyta; Magnoliopsida; Poales; Poaceae.
AUGGCAUGGGCCGCCCGGCGGCGUGCGGGGCGGGGUGGUGCGGCUGGCUGCUUCGGGGGCUGGCCCGGUUCCGCCUGGCUCGCAGGCGCUCCGGCGGGUGGGUGGCGGCGGCACGGGGCUCGCGGCGGCGCCGUGUGGGCGGCGUGGUACUCAGUCGGCGGCGUGGUGGGCCUCGUGGUGGUGGCCCCAUGGCGGCGGGGCCUGCGGGGAGUUGGGCAUCUCCGUCUCCGACCUGGAUCGGCCAUGUUCGGGGACUUCGGCGGCGUCCCUCCCCUUUGGCGGCUCGACGCGCGGGUGCGUGCCCGGCGGCUCCGACGCUUGGAGCUCGGCGGGCGGCGCGGGUUGGGCAGAGGCCGGGGUGGCCGCUGCUCCGGCCGUGGAUGGCUCCAUGGUGGCUUGGCAAGUCGGCUUCGGCGACGGCUGGCUCGUCCUGGCGUUGGUUCGUCCGUAGGUGACUUGUAUCGGCCUUUGGCCCCCCCUCCUCGUCGUCCGGUCGCUAUGUUCGGUGAAGGGCUGGCCCUCUCCCAGCUGCGGUCCAUCGGUCGUCUCGCGUCCGAUGCGCACGUCCGAGCUUGUCUCGCGCACAGUGCCGUAGGACUAAUCUCGUCUCGCGCACGGUGCAGCAGGACUGAGUCCGUCUCGCGCACGGUGUUGCGGGAGCGAGCUCGCCUCGCGCCCGGUGCUGCAGGACGGGUCGAUGGAGGCCUGGUGGCCGGCCUAUUGGGUCUCGGCGCUGGGGUCGCCCAGGGGUGCAAAAGGUGCGACCUUUCUGCUCGUCUCUUUGGUUGGGAUAGCGGCAGGUCUCGGGUGAGGGGGUGUCAAGGUCUUGAAUGCCGGGGCGGCGGCCCUGGAGGUGGUUGCGCGGCUCUCUCGGGCGGAGGCCGUGGCUUGGUGCUGCCCGGUGGCCAUGGCCGUGUGGGCGGCAUGGUCGCCGGGGGCUGGCGUCGGUGGCGGUGA